This 253-nucleotide ribosomal RNA is filed under the name uncultured bacterium. Its description in RNAcentral is "partial 16S ribosomal RNA". It matches the Rfam family "Bacterial small subunit ribosomal RNA", at positions 524 to 776 of the family's 1533-position model. The record is from RNAcentral.
UACGUAGGGUGCAAGCGUUGUCCGGAAUUAUUGGGCGUAAAGAGCUCGUAGGCGGCUUGAUACGUCGACUGUGAAAACCCGGGGCUCAACUCCGGGCCUGCAGUCGAUACGGGCUGGCUUGAGUGCGGUAGGGGAGACUGGAAUUCCUGGUGUAGCGGUGAAAUGCGCAGAUAUCAGGAGGAACACCGGUGGCGAAGGCGGGUCUCUGGGCCGUAACUGACGCUGAGGAGCGAAAGCGUGGGGAGCGAACAGG